GGCCAGACUCCUACGGGAGGCAGCAGUGGGGAAUAUUGGGCAAUGGAGGCAACUCUUACCCAGCAAUGCCGCGUGAAUGAAGAAGGUCUUCGGAUUGUAAAGUUCUUUAAUUGGGGACGAAAAAAAUGACGGUACCCAAGGAAUAAGCCCCGGCUAACUACGUGCCAGCAGCCGCGGUAAUACGUAGGUGGCAAGCGUUAUCCGGAUUUAUUGGGUGUAAAGGGCGUGUAGGCGGGAAAGCAAGUCAGAUGUGAAAACUCAGGGCUCAACCCUGAGCCUGCAUUUGAAACUGUUUUUCUUGAGUGCUGGAGAGGCAAGCGGAAUUCCGUGUGUAGCGGUGAAAUGCGUAGAUAUACGGAGGAACACCAGUGGCGAAGGCGGAUUGCUGGACAGUAACUGACGCUGAGUCGCGAAAGCGUGGGGAGCAAACAGGAUUAGAUACCCCGGUA
This 449-nucleotide ribosomal RNA is filed under the name uncultured bacterium. Its description in RNAcentral is "bacterial SSU rRNA". It matches the Rfam family "Bacterial small subunit ribosomal RNA", at positions 329 to 792 of the family's 1533-position model. The record is from RNAcentral.